This 882-nucleotide ribosomal RNA is filed under the name Septoriella hirta. RNAcentral describes it as "LSU rRNA". It matches the Rfam family "Eukaryotic large subunit ribosomal RNA", at positions 38 to 938 of the family's 3401-position model. The record is from RNAcentral. Lineage: Eukaryota; Fungi; Ascomycota; Dothideomycetes; Pleosporales; Phaeosphaeriaceae.
GCAUAUCAAUAAGCGGAGGAAAAGAAACCCAACAGGGAUUGCCCUAGUAACGGCGAGUGAAGCGGCAACAGCUCAAAUUUGAAAUCUGGCUCUUUUAGAGUCCGAGUUGUAAUUUGCAGAGGGCGCUUUGGCGUUGGCAGCGGUCCAAGUUCUUUGGAACAGGACGUCACAGAGGGUGAGAAUCCCGUACGUGGUCGCUAGCCUUCGCCGUGUAAAGCCCCUUCGACGAGUCGAGUUGUUUGGGAAUGCAGCUCUAAAUGGGAGGUAAAUUUCUUCUAAAGCUAAAUACUGGCCAGAGACCGAUAGCGCACAAGUAGAGUGAUCGAAAGAUGAAAAGCACUUUGGAAAGAGAGUCAAAUAGCACGUGAAAUUGUUGAAAGGGAAGCGCUUGCAGCCAGACUUGCCUGUAGUUGCUUAUCCGGACUUUUGUCCGGUGCACUCUUCUGCGGGCAGGCCAGCAUCAGUUUAGGCGGUUGGAUAAAGGUCUCUAUCACGUACCUCCCUUCGGGGUUGGCCUUAUAGGGGAGACGACAUGCAACCAGCCUGAACUGAGGUCCGCGCAUCUGCUAGGAUGCUGGCGUAAUGGCUGUAAGCGGCCCGUCUUGAAACACGGACCAAGGAGUCUAACAUCUAUGCGAGUGUUUGGGUGUCAAGCCCAGACGCGUAAUGAAAGUGAACGGAGGUGGGAACCUUUUAGGUGCACCAUCGACCGAUCCUGAUGUCUUCGGAUGGAUUUGAGUAAGAGCAUGGCUGUUGGGACCCGAAAGAUGGUGAACUAUGCUUGAAUAGGGUGAAGCCAGAGGAAACUCUGGUGGAGGCUCGCAGCGGUUCUGACGUGCAAAUCGAUCGUCAAAUUUGGGCAUAGGGCGAAAGACUAAUCGA